CACACACGUGACAACACAGCAACUGAAGAGACUUCGACAAAACAAACAAAUCGGUGAUAUAUUGACCUGUUUAGUGAUCUUUAACGAUAUUUUACAGUCAAAACGUCAAAAUGGGAAUCCAGAAACUGAUAUUAAAAUGAAUCUGACGGCUGCUAUAAGGAAAAUAACAAACUCUACAGCUGAACACAUCUGCAGAAUCCUUCAUGAAGCAUCAAGUGGAUCAAGAAAAGAUCUUACACAACCAGAUCAAGUCAACCAUAUGGUAGAGCAGCAGUUUGCUGGGAGUGGAAGACCACUUAACACUCAUAUCAGAGAUGAGGAACAUGUCAAAGGAGGAGAUCAGCAAGAUUUCACCUCAGCCGUUGUGUCGGGAAUCCAGGAAAGAUUGAAUUGCACCCCAUCUGGUGGACAUCUUCUUCAGACUGUUGAAGUAACCCACAUCCAGCUGUAA
RNAcentral lists this long non-coding RNA (451 nucleotides) under Sinocyclocheilus grahami. RNAcentral describes it as "lncRNA (ENSSGRG00000015556.1)". The record is from RNAcentral. Lineage: Eukaryota; Metazoa; Chordata; Actinopteri; Cypriniformes; Cyprinidae.